AGAGUUUGAUCCUGGCUCAGAUUGAACGCUGGCGGCAUGCCUUACACAUGCAAGUCGAACGGUAACAGGUCUUCGGAUGCUGACGAGUGGCGAACGGGUGAGUAAUACAUCGGAACGUGCCCAGUAAUGGGGGAUAGCUCGGCGAAAGCCGGAUUAAUACCGCAUACGCCCUGAGGGGGAAAGUGGGGGACCGCAAGGCCUCACGUUAUUGGAGCGGCCGAUGGCUGAUUAGCUAGUUGGUAGGGUAAAGGCCUACCAAGGCGACGAUCAGUAGCUGGUCUGAGAGGACGAUCAGCCACACUGGGACUGAGACACGGCCCAGACUCCUACGGGAGGCAGCAGUGGGGAAUUUUGGACAAUGGGGGAAACCCUGAUCCAGCAAUGCCGCGUGUGCGAAGAAGGCCUUCGGGUUGUAAAGCACUUUUGUCAGGGAAGAAAUCCUUUGGGCUAAUACCCUAGGGGGAUGACGGUACCUGAAGAAUAAGCACCGGCUAACUACGUGCCAGCAGCCGCGGUAAUACGUAGGGUGCAAGCGUUAAUCGGAAUUACUGGGCGUAAAGCGUGCGCAGGCGGUUGUGUAAGACAGGUGUGAAAUCCCCGGGCUUAACCUGGGAAUUGCAUUUGUGACUGCACGACUAGAGUGUGUCAGAGGGGGUGGAAUUCCACGUGUAGCAGUGAAAUGCGUAGAUAUGUGGAGGAACACCAAUGGCGAAGGCAGCCCCCUGGGAUAACACUGACGCUCAUGCACGAAAGCGUGGGGAGCAAACAGGAUUAGAUACCCUGGUAGUCCACGCCCUAAA
RNAcentral lists this ribosomal RNA (800 nucleotides) under uncultured bacterium. Its description in RNAcentral is "bacterial SSU rRNA". It matches the Rfam family "Bacterial small subunit ribosomal RNA", at positions 8 to 806 of the family's 1533-position model. The record is from RNAcentral.